This 372-nucleotide ribosomal RNA is filed under the name uncultured bacterium. RNAcentral describes it as "bacterial SSU rRNA". It matches the Rfam family "Bacterial small subunit ribosomal RNA", at positions 523 to 898 of the family's 1533-position model. The record is from RNAcentral.
AUACGUAGGGGGCGAGCGUUGUCCGGAUUUAUUGGGCGUAAAGGAUUCGCAGGCGGCCUUUUAAGUCAGAUGUGAAAGAUCACGGCUCAACCGUGGUAAGCAUUUGAAACUGGAAGGCUUGAGUUAAGGAGAGGAAAGUGGAAUUCCUAGUGUAGCGGUGAAAUGCGUAGAUAUUAGGAGGAAUACCAGUGGCGAAGGCGACUUUCUGGACUUAUACUGACGCUGAGGAACGAAAGCGUGGGGAGCAAACAGGAGUAGAUACCCUGGUAGUCCACGCCGUAAACGAUGAGUGCUAGGUGUCGGGGGUCAAACCUCGGUGCCGGAGCUAACGCAUUAAGCACUCCGCCUGGGGAGUACGUACGCAAGUAUGAA